AGGGCCUUAGCUUUGGGCGGGUUUUGGUGUGUAUGGAUUUGAAACCAUUGAAACCGUCCAAAACUGAGGCCAGA
This is a non-coding RNA of Glossina austeni, 74 nucleotides long. The record is from Rfam. Lineage: Eukaryota; Metazoa; Arthropoda; Insecta; Diptera; Glossinidae.